ACCCCAUUCUAACUUUGAGCUUCAUGGAACAGUGAGACCAAGACAAUACUUAUGGGUAUGGUAGGACUUCUACCAAAUGAGCCUUCAAACUCAGAUCCAGAAAUGAAUCUAGGAAUUUGCAUCUUUGAGACCAAUUGUCAUUUAUUCCACAGUCUCUGCUUUAUUAUUUUUUUCUUUUUUUUAAAUAUUAUUUCCUAAGAUCUAUGUGGCCUAAUGCAGAGUGAAAUGAAAAGAAUCAGGAAAACAUUAUAUACACAGUAACUGAAAUAUUGUGGACCAGUUAAAUGUGAUAGACUUUGCUACUAACAGUGAUUGUGAUUUUUAAAUUUCCUCCAUCUUGCUUGGUCUAGCACCCAAGAAUGUGCACACCCACACUAUACUGGCAUGUGCUAGCUAAUGACAAAUCAGAAACAACUAACUGCCCCCCUGGGCUGUCCUAAGCCAAGCUUGAGCCACCAUUGGCACAUAUGAGCCGCAGGAAGUGAGGUAGAGAACAGCCUCUGGAGAUUGGGCACUUCCUGUGGAGAGGGCUAGAUGCCAGUUCGAUCCUGGAGCUCGAGCUGGGAGGAGGCCCGCAGACAGCUUUCCUUCAGAUCGGUCACGUGAGUGAUAAGGACUGACUCCCUUCUCUGCCUUGGCUCUCCAAGGUCUUAUGCUCCCACUUGACUCAGCCUGAACCAGAGUGGUUGAGUUAACCUCUUUUCUUCUCUCCUUUCCUUCUCUCCGUCUCUCUCUCUCCCUCUAAUAAUUUCUUUUUCCUGUUAUAAUUAAAUUACCAUAAAACUCCAUUCUGACUUGAGUGUUUCAUUUAGGAUUUUUAUAACUAAAAUCCAUGGCAACCUAUAAUUAAUAUAAUUAGUCUCUAACACUAAAUUUGAAUCGAACAUGAUCCAGGACAAUUCUGAGGGACUUAUAAAAAAAGAAUGCUCUCCACCUCUAGAGAAAGAACUGUUGGAGUAUAAGUGCAGAUUUAUAAGAUUAUUCACUAACAAAUGGAUGCAGAUUUCCUCAGAGAUGGAGAUAAAUCUAUUGGAAAUAUUUCUUAAACAACUAUUAUGAGCUCAACACAGCAUCUAGCCCUGUAAGUCUAUCAAUAUGAACCGUAUAACCUCUGGAAGUCUCUGGCAUCUCUACAAUUCUCUAAAACUAAGAAAAGAUCUGGCGCCUAAAGUUUUUUCAGUUUUUUUUUUUAUUAUUAAAUUGGAAAGAAAGAGUUCACUUACCUUUGCUGAAUCAAAGGGAUGGGGUGAAAGCCCAGUUUCUUGACGAUGAAUCACACACCUUGAACCACAGGUCGGGCAAAUUGGUGGACACCUUCAGGUUCCAACCUGCAUGGCAACCCCACCUUGGAAAGCCUCGUCAUCCUGGUGAGUGAGCGUGCCAGAUUCCACAAACCUGUACUUGCCGAUGGAGAGCCCCUCCGGCCAAGAGCAGUACCACCAGCCAACAAGGGGCACUGAGGAGCCUAUGACUGGCAUAAGGGGAAGUUGAAUCACUCCUUUGAUAUGGCGCGAUUCUUCUCAACCCAUGAAAAAAGCAAGACACCAUUUUGCUCCCUUGUGACUGCUUACCGAAGAAAGAUUUCUUGCCGCAAGAUUCUAAGUCAAGAAGAAAGAGUGACUUUUUUGGUUUUAUCGAUUUCAUAGUUGGGAAAUUCUGGUAAGAUGAAUUGAUAGGCUCUUUUAUAAAUUUUUAGCUUAUUUUUAAAAGUUUUUUAAAAUAAAAAAAAAUCUUUCAUUAAGAAUUUUAACUGU
Molecule: long non-coding RNA, 1754 nt
Filed under: Monodelphis domestica (gray short-tailed opossum)
Lineage: Eukaryota; Metazoa; Chordata; Mammalia; Didelphimorphia; Didelphidae
Description: lncRNA (ENSMODG00000043538.1)
Source: RNAcentral